CCUUCGGGGGGCAGCAGUGAGGAAUAUUGGUCAAUGGGCGCUAGCCUGAACCAGCCAAGUCGCGUGAAGGAUGACUGCCCUAUGGGUUGUAAACUUCUUUUAUAUGGGAAUAAAGUGCAGUAUGUAUACUGCUUUGCAUGUACCUUAUGAAUAAGGAUCGGCUAACUCCGUGCCAGCAGCCGCGGUAAUACGGAGGGUUCGAGCGUUAAUCGGAAUUACUGGGCGUAAAGGGCUCGUAGGCGGUAUGUCAAGUCAAGGGUGAAAUCCCCGGGCUCAACGUGGGAACUGCCUUUGAAACUGGCAUACUUGAGUGUGUGAGAGGAAAGUGGAAUUCCAGGUGUAGCGGUGAAAUGCGUAGAUAUCUGGAAGAACAUCAGUGGCGAAGGCGACUAUCUGGCACAUAACUGACGCUGAGGAGCGAAAGCGUGGGUAGCAAACAGGAUUAGAUACCCGGGUAGUC
RNAcentral lists this ribosomal RNA (460 nucleotides) under uncultured bacterium. Its description in RNAcentral is "partial 16S ribosomal RNA". It matches the Rfam family "Bacterial small subunit ribosomal RNA", at positions 338 to 795 of the family's 1533-position model. The record is from RNAcentral.